GUCCACGCCGUAAACGUUGGGCGCUAGAUGUGGGUCACAUUCCACGUGAUCCGUGUCGCAGCUAACGCAUUAAGCGCCCCGCCUGGGGAGUACGGCCGCAAGGCUAAAACUCAAAGGAAUUGACGGGGGCCCGCACAAGCGGCGGAGCAUGCGGAUUAAUUCGAUGCAACGCGAAGAACCUUACCAAGGCUUGACAUAUAGAGGAAAACUGCAGAAAUGUAGUCCCCGCAAGGUCUCUAUACAGGUGGUGCAUGGUUGUCGUCAGCUCGUGUCGUGAGAUGUUGGGUUAAGUCCCGCAACGAGCGCAACCCUCGUCCUAUGUUGCCAGCACGUUAUGGUGGGAACUCAUGGGAGACUGCCGGGGUCAACUCGGAGGAAGGUGGGGAUGACGUCAAAUCAUCAUGCCCCUUAUGUCUUGGGCUUCACGCAUGCUACAAUGGCCGGUACAAAGGGCUGCAAUACCGCAAGGUGGAGCGAAUCCCAAAAAGCCGGUCUCAGUUCGGAUUGAGGUCUGCAACUCGACCUCAUGAAGUCGGAGUCGCUAGUAAUCGCAGAUCAGCAACGCUGCGGUGAAUACGUUCCCGGGCCUUGUACACACCGCCCGUCAAGUCACGAAAGUCGGUAACACCCGAAGCCGGUGGCCUAACCGUAAGGAAGGAGCCGUCGAAG
This 669-nucleotide ribosomal RNA is filed under the name uncultured Actinomycetes bacterium. RNAcentral's name for it is "bacterial SSU rRNA". It matches the Rfam family "Bacterial small subunit ribosomal RNA", at positions 793 to 1461 of the family's 1533-position model. Lineage: Bacteria; Bacillati; Actinomycetota; Actinomycetes. The record is from RNAcentral.